AACGCUAGCUACAGGCUUAACACAUGCAAGUCGAGGGGCAGCGGGAUUGAAGCUUGCUUCAAUUGCCGGCGACCGGCGCACGGGUGAGUAACGCGUAUCCAACCUUCCGUACACUCAGGGAUAGCCUUUCGAAAGAAAGAUUAAUACCUGAUGGUAUCUUAAGCACACAUGUAAUUAAGAUUAAAGAUUUAUCGGUGUACGAUGGGGAUGCGUUCCAUUAGGUAGUAGGCGGGGUAACGGCCCACCUAGCCUACGAUGGAUAGGGGUUCUGAGAGGAAGGUCCCCCACAUUGGAACUGAGACACGGUCCAAACUCCUACGGGAGGCAGCAGUGAGGAAUAUUGGUCAAUGGACGAGAGUCUGAACCAGCCAAGUAGCGUGAAGGAUGAAGGUCCUACGGAUUGUAAACUUCUUUUAUAAGGGAAUAAACCCUCCCACGUGUGGGAGCUUGUAUGUACCUUAUGAAUAAGCAUCGGCUAACUCCGUGCCAGCAGCCGCGGUAAUACGGAGGAUGCGAGCGUUAUCCGGAUUUAUUGGGUUUAAAGGGAGCGCAGACGGGUCGUUAAGUCAGCUGUGAAAGUUUGGGGCUCAACCUUAAAAUUGCAGUUGAUACUGGCGUCCUUGAGUGCGGUUGAGGUGUGCGGAAUUCGUGGUGUAGCGGUGAAAUGCUUAGAUAUCACGAAGAACUCCGAUUG
This 694-nucleotide ribosomal RNA is filed under the name uncultured Bacteroidales bacterium. RNAcentral describes it as "bacterial SSU rRNA". It matches the Rfam family "Bacterial small subunit ribosomal RNA", at positions 32 to 715 of the family's 1533-position model. Lineage: Bacteria; Pseudomonadati; Bacteroidota; Bacteroidia; Bacteroidales. The record is from RNAcentral.